This is a long non-coding RNA of Lagenorhynchus albirostris (white-beaked dolphin), 333 nucleotides long. RefSeq lists it as uncharacterized. The record is from RefSeq and is a predicted model, not a curated record. The transcript has 2 exons. NCBI's taxonomy places the organism in Eukaryota, Metazoa, Chordata, Mammalia, Artiodactyla, Delphinidae.
AAGAAAGGCUCCCCUCUCUUUUUUUUGUUGUUUCUUUGUGCUUCAACCAGAAGUGUUCUGGCUGUUUUCACCCUCUUACUCUUUUAUGUCAAGUUUGGAGCCAUUUCAUCAAGUCCCAGGAAAAUCUCUGUUGGGUACCAGUCUGUGCUCUUUACACGGCCAGCUCAUUGAACCCUCACCACUGCCUGAUGAAGAUUAACUUCCUAGAAGUGGAAUUACAGCAAAAGAGAGCAUAAACACAUCUGACUACUGGAGCGAUAAGAAAGAUGUUUCCAAAAAAAGCGACCAUUUCUUUGUUAGUGGCAAUGUAUAAAGACGCUUGUUUUAUAAAAA